GGGGAUUUAGCUCAGUGGUAGAGCACUUGCCUAGCAAGGGAAAGGCCCUGGGUUCGGUCCCCAGCUCCG
This 69-nucleotide transfer RNA is filed under the name Rattus norvegicus (Norway rat). It matches the Rfam family "tRNA". Rfam says of the family: Transfer RNA (tRNA) molecules are approximately 80 nucleotides in length. Their secondary structure includes four short double-helical elements and three loops (D, anti-codon, and T loops). Lineage: Eukaryota; Metazoa; Chordata; Mammalia; Rodentia; Muridae. The record is from Rfam by way of RNAcentral.